UACGGAGGGUGCAAGCGUUGUUCGGAAUUACUGGGCGUAAAGCGCGCGUAGGCGGCUCUUUAAGUCUCACUGUGAAAGACCGGGGCUCAACCCCGUGCGAGCAGGGGAUACUGGAGGGCUGGAGACCGGUAGAGGCCAGCGGAAUUUCGGGUGUAGCGGUGGAAUGCGUAGAGAUCCGAAAGAACACCGGAGGCGAAGGCGGCUAGCUGGGCCGAGUCUGACGCUGAGGUGCGAAAGCGUGGGGAGCGAACAGG
This 254-nucleotide ribosomal RNA is filed under the name uncultured bacterium. RNAcentral's name for it is "partial 16S ribosomal RNA". It matches the Rfam family "Bacterial small subunit ribosomal RNA", at positions 524 to 776 of the family's 1533-position model. The record is from RNAcentral.